GUCCCGCAACGAGCGCAACCCCGCCGUUAGUUGCCAGCGGUUCGGCCGGGCACUCUAACGGGACUGCCCGCGAAAGCGGGAGGAAGGAGGGGACGACGUCUGGUCAGCAUGGCCCUUACGGCCUGGGCGACACACGUGCUACAAUGCCCACUACAAAGCGAGUGCCACCCGGCAACGGGAGCUAAUCGCAAAAAGGUGGGCCCAGUUCGGAUUGGGGUCUGCAACCCGACCCCAUGAAGCCGGAAUCGCUAGUAAUCGCGGAUCAGCAUGCCGCCGGUGAACUACGUUCCCGGGCCGUU
Molecule: ribosomal RNA, 299 nt
Filed under: uncultured Thermus sp.
Lineage: Bacteria; Thermotogati; Deinococcota; Deinococci; Thermales; Thermaceae
Description: partial 16S ribosomal RNA
Rfam family: Bacterial small subunit ribosomal RNA
Source: RNAcentral